This 534-nucleotide ribosomal RNA is filed under the name uncultured Acidobacteriota bacterium. Its description in RNAcentral is "bacterial SSU rRNA". It matches the Rfam family "Bacterial small subunit ribosomal RNA", at positions 8 to 522 of the family's 1533-position model. Lineage: Bacteria; Pseudomonadati; Acidobacteriota. The record is from RNAcentral.
AGAGUUUGAUCUGGCUCAGAAUCAACGCUGGCGGCGUGCCUAACACAUGCAAGUCGAACGUGAAAGUGGAGCAAUCCAUGAGUAGAGUGGCAAACGGGUGAGUAACGCGUGGGCGACCUACCUUCGAGCGGGGGAUAACAUUCCGAAAGGAGUGCUAAUACCGCAUGACAUCCCGUGUUUGGAUACACGGAGAUCAAAGCCGGGGAUCGCAAGACCUGGCACUUGAAGAGGGGCCCGCGUCCGAUUAGCUAGUUGGCGAGGUAAUGGCUCACCAAGGCUCCGAUCGGUAUCCGGCCUGAGAGGGCGGACGGACACACUGGAACUGAGACACGGUCCAGACUCCUACGGGAGGCAGCAGUGGGGAAUUGUUCACAAUGGGCGCAAGCCUGAUGACGCAACGCCGCGUGGAGGAUGAAGACCUUCGGGUCGUAAACUCCUUUCGACCGAGAUGAAUAUCCACCGGCUUAAUACGCCGGUGGAGUGACAGUAUCGAGGGAAGAAGCCCCGGCUAACUCUGUGCCAGCAGCCGCGGUA